RNAcentral lists this ribosomal RNA (481 nucleotides) under uncultured Acidovorax sp. RNAcentral describes it as "bacterial SSU rRNA". It matches the Rfam family "Bacterial small subunit ribosomal RNA", at positions 903 to 1382 of the family's 1533-position model. Lineage: Bacteria; Pseudomonadati; Pseudomonadota; Betaproteobacteria; Burkholderiales; Comamonadaceae. The record is from RNAcentral.
CUACAAAGGAAUUGACGGGACCCGCACAAGCGGUGGAUGAUGUGGUUUAAUUCGAUGCAACGCGAAAACCUUACCCACCUUUGACAUGUACGGAAUCCUUUAGAGAUAGAGGAGUGCUCGAAAGAGAACCGUAACACAGGUGCUGCAUGGCUGUCGUCAGCUCGUGUCGUGAGAUGUUGGGUUAAGUCCCGCAACGAGCGCAACCCUUGUCAUUAGUUGCUACAUUCAGUUGGGCACUCUAAUGAGACUGCCGGUGACAAACCGGAGGAAGGUGGGGAUGACGUCAAGUCCUCAUGGCCCUUAUAGGUGGGGCUACACACGUCAUACAAUGGCCGGUACAGAGGGUAGCCAACCCGCGAGGGGGAGCCAAUCCCACAAAGCCGGUCGUAGUCCGGAUCGCAGUCUGCAACUCGACUGCGUGAAGUCGGAAUCGCUAGUAAUCGCGGAUCAGCAUGUCGCGGUGAAUACGUUCCCGGGCCUU